This 370-nucleotide ribosomal RNA is filed under the name uncultured organism. RNAcentral's name for it is "bacterial SSU rRNA". It matches the Rfam family "Bacterial small subunit ribosomal RNA", at positions 526 to 896 of the family's 1533-position model. The record is from RNAcentral.
CGAAGGGGGCUAGCGUUGUUCGGAUUUACUGGGCGUAAAGCGCACGUAGGCGGAUUGUUAAGUCAGGGGUGAAAUCCUGGAGCUCAACUCCAGAACUGCCUUUGAUACUGGCAAUCUAGAGUCCGGAAGAGGUGAGUGGAACUCCUAGUGUAGAGGUGGAAUUCGUAGAUAUUAGGAAGAACACCAGUGGCGAAGGCGGCUCACUGGUCCGGUACUGACGCUGAGGUGCGAAAGCGUGGGGAGCAAACAGGGUUAGAUACCCUGGUAGUCCACGCCGUAAACUAUGGAAGCUAGCCGUUGGAGAGUUUACUCUUCAGUGGCGCAGCUAACGCAUUAAGCUUCCCGCCUGGGGAGUACGGUCGCAAGAUUA